RNAcentral lists this small RNA (79 nucleotides) under Flavobacterium limicola. RNAcentral's name for it is "Flavo-1 RNA". It matches the Rfam family "Flavo-1 RNA". The record is from RNAcentral. Lineage: Bacteria; Pseudomonadati; Bacteroidota; Flavobacteriia; Flavobacteriales; Flavobacteriaceae.
UUUUAGCCCCGAUGAAAGGGAAUAUCCUUUUUGUUUUUUCUUUAAAAACAAAAAGAUUGGAAUGACAGCGGGAUUAGCU